AUGAAUAAUGCUCUACUUGCCCCUUAUACCGCGGAAGAUGUUCGCAAGGCUUUAUUCGAUAUUGGGGACUUAAAAGCUCCAGGAUCAGAUGGGCUUCAUGCUAUUUUCUACAAAAGGUUCUGGCCAAUGCUGGGGGAGGACCUAAUUGAGGAGGUUAUGAAAGCAAUCAACACAUGUACUAUCCCGAACGGUUGGAACGAUACGACAAUCGUGAUGAUUCCUAAGAUUAAUACACCAGAAAAGGUAACAUUUAGACCGAUUAGUUUAUGUAAUGUGGUAUACAAAAUAAUUGCGAAAAUGGUGGCUACUCCAUUGAAGGUCUUUUUACCAGAAAUUAUUAGUCCCACACAGAGUGCAUUUGUACCGGGUAGAUUGAUAACGGAUAAUAAUUUAGUGGCCUAUGAAUGUUUUCACACAAUCAAGAACAAAAGAGAAGGGAGAGAGGGCUUGUGUGCUAUAAAACUUGAUAUGCAAAAAGCAUACGAUAGAGUUGAGUGGCGUUUUUGGGAGAUUAUGUUGAGAUUGGGUUUUCAUCGAGAAUGGGUGAAUUCGAUUAUGCAAUGUGUCUCAACUGUCGAUUAUAGAGUAAGGAUCAGUGCAGAGGAAAGUGAGAGUUUCAAGCCUACUAGAGGGUUGAGGCAGGGUGAUCCGCUACCACCAUACCUCUUUCUGCUAUGCACAGAGGGGUUGAAUGCCUUGCUAGCGCAUGCUGAGGACAACGGGAACAUAUCAGGAGUUAAAGUCUGUAGAGACACCCCGCCAGUCACAAAUCUUCUCUUUGCGGAUGAUUCAUUGAUAUUGAUGAAAGCCAACCAACAUAAUGUGGCGGCCCUGAAAUCAGCAUUAGAUUUAUAUUGUGCGGCGUCAGGACAACUGGUAAGCAUGGAAAAGUCAAGCAUUUUCUUUAGUCCUAAUACAACGGUAGAGAUAAGAGAACAAAUGUGUACAACGUUGAAUAUAAUGACAGAGGCAAUGAGUGACAAAUACUUGGGCUUGCCAGCAAAUGUGGGUGUUGAUAAAACAGACUGUUUUAAUUUUUUGAUUGAACGAAUUGUUAAGAAAAAUAGUGGUUGGAAGGAAAAAUUACUGUCUGCCGGGGGAAAGGAGAUCCUUCUCAAGGCUGUGAUCCAAGCCAUACCUACCUAUGCAAUGUCGGUCUUUAAAAUUCCUAAAGAAAAUUGUAAAUGAAUCAUUGACGCGAUUGCACAUUUUUGGUGGGGAGACGAGGAGAACCAGAGAAGGAUGCACUGGAUGGCCUGGUGGAAAAUGUGCGUACCAAAAAAAUCAAGGAGGAAUGGGUUUCCGUGA
This 1308-nucleotide ribosomal RNA is filed under the name Triticum aestivum (bread wheat). Its description in RNAcentral is "partial small subunit ribosomal RNA". Lineage: Eukaryota; Viridiplantae; Streptophyta; Magnoliopsida; Poales; Poaceae. The record is from RNAcentral.